Oxyura jamaicensis (ruddy duck) is the source of this 838-nucleotide long non-coding RNA. RefSeq lists it as uncharacterized. The record is from RefSeq and is a predicted model, not a curated record. The transcript has 2 exons. NCBI's taxonomy places the organism in Eukaryota, Metazoa, Chordata, Aves, Anseriformes, Anatidae.
CUUUUUGGAGGAGUGCUAGUCUCUAGCUCAGCUGUCCCUGGCUGUGGAGUCCUUUUCUCCUGAGCUUUGUAUGCAGAUUGGUCUCCUAGUUUGAACUUGGCUCUGCCUCAUCAUCACAGCUCUGCCUGGAAUUUACUAGACCUGACCCAUAGACUGGCUUCCUGGUUUGACCUUAGACCUGCCCUAUCACUAUGCUUUUGGCUUGUGACGUAGGCUCUUGGUUGGACCUGGUUACCAUCUCAGGAUCUGUCCUGCUCGGUUCACUCACAUGGUGUGGGGAAGGCCCUGGAAUCACCUCAGCUCUUCCCUUGAGGAGAAGACCUUCUCUUGCUGCUCUCUGGCACUCUCUUAAAAUAUGUUUCUUAGUGUGUAGGGAUGAGCUAGUGUGGUUGUCAGUACCUAAGUAAUAGUAGAUGGUGAUUCCUAUCCCCUCUGCAGAAGCUUUUUAACUGAAGUUCUCUUUUUGUUUUGAAGGAGUUGCUUCUUACUGGCUUCCUGGAGGCAACAAAGCGGCAAAAGAUGACAGAGGUAAGGAACAGAAACUUCAGGUGACACUGCUAAAACAUUUCCACUGCUGAAGAAAAUCUAGAUAAUGCUUUUAUCUUCAGACAUGAAGAUUCAUGGUUCAGUUUUGUCUAGAGGACUUUGCCCACAAAUAAAGAUAAUCCCAUAUUCAGUGUUCCACCUCAUUGGAUUGAGCCUGCAAAGCAUUUCUUAUCUAGAUAAAAUAAAAGGCUUUGCAAAAAAAUGCUGGCAAACCACACUUGAUUUAAAUGAACUGUUCAGAACCUAGAACUACUGAAAAAAAAGAAAGAUCAGAGCAAACCUGCAAGCUGAU